This is a long non-coding RNA of Zalophus californianus (California sea lion), 419 nucleotides long. RefSeq lists it as uncharacterized. NCBI's taxonomy places the organism in Eukaryota, Metazoa, Chordata, Mammalia, Carnivora, Otariidae. The transcript is spliced from 3 exons. The record is from RefSeq and is a predicted model, not a curated record.
CUCCAACUCAAAGAGCGUGAGCUCCUUGAAUUGUAUCACUUUUAACAAUGGGAAAUUAAAAAGACAAAAGCGCUUGACAGAAGGUGGAAAAAUACCCUGAAACUUCUGUGGAGUCCUCCCUGCUUGGGGAGAAGAGCAGCAAGCCGCAAGGCAGAACUUUUGUCUCUGAUUUAUACUUUGGAUUGUUCUGUUUAAGUCACCUCCGCAGUAGGAGCUGAGCCUUUCUGACCAGAUAGAUCUAGUUAGUCUCAACUGGGGAAAUCGAAGUGUCCAUCAAGAUGCACUGAAGAGCGCCUCAAGCUUUCUGAUCUCCGCAGUGUAUGUAAUACCACACAGUCUGCUUAACACCCUCUGUGCCUAGAGAUAUUGCAGAGAAGACAACCGAAGAUGAACAAUUAAUUAAUCAUUCAAAAUAAAAU